AUUGAACGCUGGCGGCAUGCUUUACACAUGCAAGUCGAACGGCAGCGCGGGGGCAACCCUGGCGGCGAGUGGCGAACGGGUGAGUAAUGCAUCGGAACGUAUCCUGUAAUGGGGGAUAACGUAGCGAAAGUUACGCUAAUACCGCAUACGCUCGAGAGAGGAAAGUGGGGGAUCGCAAGACCUCACGUUAUAGGAGCGGCCGAUGUCCGAUUAGCUAGUUGGUGGGGUAAAGGCCUACCAAGGCGACGAUCGGUAGCUGGUCUGAGAGGAUGAUCAGCCACACUGGGACUGAGACACGGCCCCAGACUCCUACGGGAGGCAGCAGUGGGGAAUUUUGGACAAUGGGCGAAAGCCUGAUCCAGCCAUGCCGCGUGCGGGAAGAAGGCC
Molecule: ribosomal RNA, 387 nt
Filed under: uncultured bacterium
Lineage: Bacteria
Description: bacterial SSU rRNA
Rfam family: Bacterial small subunit ribosomal RNA
Source: RNAcentral